Molecule: ribosomal RNA, 913 nt
Filed under: uncultured organism
Description: bacterial SSU rRNA
Rfam family: Bacterial small subunit ribosomal RNA
Source: RNAcentral
UUCGUAUGUCGGAUGUGAAAGCCCGGGGCUCAACCCCGGAACUGCAUUCGAAACUGCGGGACUAGAGUACAGGAUGGGAGAGCGGAAUUCUUGGUGUAGCGGUGAAAUGCGUUGAGAUCAAGAAGAACACCGGCGGCGAAGGCGGCUCUCUGGAAUGUUACUGACACUCAUGCACGAAAGCUGGGGUAGCAAACAGGAUUAGAUACCCUGGUAGUCCCAGCUGUAAGCUGUGUGCACUUGGUGUUGGCGGUAUUGACCCCGCCAGAGCCGGAGUUAACGCGUUAAGUGCACCGCCUGAGGAGUACGAUCGCAAGGUUAAAACUCAAAGAAAUUGACGGGGGCCCGCACAAGCGGAGGAGCAUGUGGCUUAAUUCGAUGCAACGCGAAGAACCUUACCUGGGUUUGACAUCGGAGAGGCUUGCCUCUAGCGCGUGAAAGCGCGUUAACCAGACAGGUGCUGCAUGGCUGUCGUCAGUUCGUGCCGUGAGGUGUUGGGUUAAGUCCCGCAACGAACGCAACCCUUAUGUUUAGUUGCCACCCCCGAGCAAUCGGGGCGCACUCUAGACAGACUGCCCGUACAAGCGGGAGGAAGGUGGGGAUGACGUCAAGUCCGUAUGGCCCUUACACCCAGGGCUGCACACGUGCUACAAUGGUCGGUACAGAGGGAUGCUACACCGCGAGGUUACGCAAAUCCCUAAAAGCCGGUCCCAGUUCGGAUUGCAGUCUGUAACUCGACUGCAUGAAGUUGGAUUCGCUAGUAACGGCGUAUCAGCUACGACGCCGUGAAUACGUUCCCGGGCCUUGUACACACCGCCCGUCACAUCAUGAAGCCGUCUGCACCCGAAGUCACUGAACCAACCAGCAAUGGAGGGAGGUGCCGAAGGUGUGGGUGGUGAUUGGGAUGAAGUCGUAA